RNAcentral lists this ribosomal RNA (306 nucleotides) under Mactra antiquata. RNAcentral's name for it is "partial 16S ribosomal RNA". It matches the Rfam family "Archaeal large subunit ribosomal RNA", at positions 2033 to 2588 of the family's 2987-position model. Lineage: Eukaryota; Metazoa; Mollusca; Bivalvia; Venerida; Mactridae. The record is from RNAcentral.
GCAGUCAAUUGUCCUUUAAUUGGGGAAAGGAAUGAAAGGGUUGACGAGGGGGAGGCUGUCUUUGUAAUAUAAUUUGAAAUUUUCUUUUACGUGAAAAGACUUAAAUUUUAAAAUAAGAAGAGAAGACCCCGGCGAGCUUGUUAAGGGUUGUUAAAUGAAAAUGACCAUUGAGGUUUGUUGGGGCAACGCAAAGGGAAGAAAACUCCUUUGAAUGUGAUAAGGAUCCACUAAGAGUGAAUAAAGCAAAAGCUACCGCGGGGAUAACAGCGCAAUUUUCUUAGAGAGUUCAUAUCGAAGAGAAAGUUU